Molecule: ribosomal RNA, 497 nt
Filed under: uncultured bacterium
Lineage: Bacteria
Description: partial 16S ribosomal RNA
Rfam family: Bacterial small subunit ribosomal RNA
Source: RNAcentral
GAUGAACGCUGGCGGCGUGCCUAAUACAUGCAAGUCGAGCGAACAGAUGAGGAGCUUGCUCCUCUGACGUUAGCGGCGGACGGGUGAGUAACACGUGGAUAACCUACCUAUAAGACUGGGAUAACUUCGGGAAACCGGAGCUAAUACCGGAUAAUAUAUUGAACCGCAUGGUUCAAUAGUGAAAGACGGUUUUGCUGUCACUUAUAGAUGGAUCCGCGCCGCAUUAGCUAGUUGGUAAGGUAACGGCUUACCAAGGCAACGAUGCGUAGACGACCUGAGAGGGUGAUCGGCCACACUGGAACUGUGACACGGUCCAGACUCCUACGGGAGGCAGCAGUAGGGAAUCUUCCGCAAUGGGCGAAAGCCUGACGGAGCAACGCCGCGUGAGUGAUGAAGGUCUUCGGAUCGUAAAACUCUGUUAUUAGGGAAGAACAAAUGUGUAAGUAACUAUGCACGUCUUGACGGUACCUAAUCAGAAAGCCACGGCUAACUACGUG